RNAcentral lists this ribosomal RNA (420 nucleotides) under uncultured bacterium. RNAcentral's name for it is "bacterial SSU rRNA". It matches the Rfam family "Bacterial small subunit ribosomal RNA", at positions 355 to 792 of the family's 1533-position model. The record is from RNAcentral.
UGGGGAAUAUUGCACAAUGGGCGAAAGCCUGAUGCAGCGACGCCGCGUGAGUGAAGAAGUAUCUCGGUAUGUAAAGCUCUAUCAGCAGGGAAGAUAACGACGGUACCUGACUAAGAAGCACCGGCUAAAUACGUGCCAGCAGCCGCGGUAAUACGUAUGGUGCAAGCGUUAUCCGGAUUUACUGGGUGUAAAGGGAGCGCAGUCGGCAUGGCAAGUCUGAUGUGAAAGCCCGGGGCUCAACCCCGGUACUGCAUUGGAAACUACCAAGCUAGAGUGUCGGAGGGGUAAGUGGAAUUCCUAGUGUAGCGGUGAAAUGCGUAGAUAUUAGGAGGAACACCAGUGGCGAAGGCGGCUUACUGGACGAUGACUGACGCUGAGGCUCGAAAGCGUGGGGAGCAAAGAGGAUUAGAUACCCUGGUA